AGGGAAUCUUCCGCAAUGGACGAAAGUCUGACGGAGCAACGCCGCGUGAGUGAUGAAGGUUUUCGGAUCGUAAAGCUCUGUUGCCAGGGAAGAACGUCCGUUAGAGUAACUGCUAACGGAGUGACGGUACCUGAGAAGAAAGCCCCGGCUAACUACGUGCCAGCAGCCGCGGUAAUACGUAGGGGGCGAGCGUUGUCCGGAAUUAUUGGGCGUAAAGCGCGCGCAGGCGGCUGUUUAAGUCUGGUGGUUAAUCCUGGGGCUCAACCCGAGGUCGCACUGAAAACUGGGCAGCUUGAGUGCAGAAGAGGAGAGUGGAAUUCCACGUGUAGCGGUGAAAUGCGUAGAGAUGUGGAGGAACACCAGUGGCGAAGGCGACUCUCUGGGCUGUAACUGACGCUGAGGCGCGAAAGCGUGGGGAGCAAAC
RNAcentral lists this ribosomal RNA (424 nucleotides) under uncultured bacterium. RNAcentral's name for it is "bacterial SSU rRNA". It matches the Rfam family "Bacterial small subunit ribosomal RNA", at positions 356 to 773 of the family's 1533-position model. The record is from RNAcentral.